GUCGGGAAUAACCCCCGGACAAGUCAGAACACCGGUCUUCUGGUUUUAUUCCCCACAUUCGGCAGUCCCCCUUUCUUCCUCUCGGUUUCCUUAGCUUUGAAAUGGGACUAAAGUGAGAGUGAAGUAAGAGAGUAGAGAUUAAAGUGUUUUGAAACCUGGCAAAUCAUUGAACAAUGAUUUGGCAAUGGAAGGCGUUAUAAUUUCUCCACUCUCACAUAAUUGGAAAAUGAAAGGUAAAAUAUAUCCUUCUAGUGCCUUUUGUAGUGUUGGUAACCUACUUUGAAGUCAGAAGAAGCUCUAAAGCAGCACAGUGUGGGAGCUUAUAUAGAGCAGUCCCCUCUUAUCCAUGGAUCUGCUUUCUGCAGUCUCAGGAGGGGUCAGCUGUGGUUUGGAAUCAGGUAAUCCUCCUUCUGAGGAAUCCUCCUCAGGUCAAUAGCAGCCACAACUGCGCCUGCGUCAUUUACCUCACUUCAUCUCAUCACAUAGGUAUUUUAUCAUCUCCCAUCAUCAAAGGAGGGUUGUCUCAACUGACAGAGCAGGGAAAUCCACAUGUAUAUUCACCUGCAUAUAUACACAUCUCACUCACACCCUCAAAAUCUACAGCCUGAAGGCAGAGCUGGAAAGCAGUGAGGAGCACUGGGUUGGCAAUCAGCUCCUGGAUUCAAGGCCUGGUUCUACUGCUCAUUGACAUUGACCUUGAGACGAAUUACUCAAAUUCUCCAAGUUUCACUUUCCUUCGGUGAAGAAUGUUAAUAUUAUUACUGCAACCUACUCCUAUUUUUCU
Molecule: long non-coding RNA, 784 nt
Organism: Canis lupus familiaris (dog)
Lineage: Eukaryota; Metazoa; Chordata; Mammalia; Carnivora; Canidae
Exons: 3
Source: RefSeq, a predicted model, not a curated record